Long non-coding RNA from Drosophila biarmipes, 666 nucleotides. RefSeq lists it as uncharacterized. NCBI's taxonomy places the organism in Eukaryota, Metazoa, Arthropoda, Insecta, Diptera, Drosophilidae. The record is from RefSeq and is a predicted model, not a curated record. The transcript is spliced from 3 exons.
CGUGUUUACAAUACAUUUUAAUAAAGUCAAGAAGGCGUCCGGGUGUGCGAAAGAGAGGCCACCACAACGAGCGAGCGGGACGGGGAGACGACUCCGGAUACGUGAGUGUGUGUGCCAGAACGGCGAAGGUACCUUGCGGGGCGGACUGGCGACAGGGGGCGUGGCCAUCUGGGGAGCUGCGGCAGCUGAAAACUGAUAUUCAAUUCAAUCAGUUCUGCCUGAGACCUCAGGGAAGUGACUGGAGCAAUGGCGAUGGAGCAGGGAACUGCACAGUGAGAAAAAACCAGGAUAAAGGGAAUCGGAAUGGUUCCGAGUUCCGAAUGUGGUUAGUUGCUAAUGCGGCGCCCUCCUGUGUGUGUGUCAAUGGCUGGAACUGAUUCUGAUUGAGAAUCCUUCCUCGUCCGGACCUCUCGAUUGAAUGGCGGGAACAGGCCGGAGUUGAGCCACAGGAAAUCGGCUGAAAAAAGAAGCCGUACACCAUCGCAUGGCCAGAUAUUUUAUGGGCGCGACGGCGGCCUUCACCUACACUUCACCACCUGUUAUACAUAACCGCCCCCAGCCGCCCAGCCACCCACCGGAUCCCGAACUCCGCCCCCUUUUCGCUGGCAACUUUGCGCCUCCAUUCACUUUAACAAUAAAUUUCAGCAAAUAAAUCAAAAUGUAACA